GUAAGAAAUAGAUAACAGGGAUUUUUGGAUAGUAUAUGUUCAAGUAAUAGUGUUCCUUUUUUGUUAACAAUGUUGUUUCCUAAACCUUCUUGUAGGAACACUGUGACGAACUACCCUUCGCCACUGUUUUUUGGCCUGUUUGCCAGCCUCUUUUCCUGUGACUAUAGCCCCUGGGGUGUACUGCUGUUUAAGCAGUCUAUUUGGG
This is a non-coding RNA of Pelobates cultripes (western spadefoot toad), 205 nucleotides long. The record is from the annotation of a GenBank genome assembly. NCBI's taxonomy places the organism in Eukaryota, Metazoa, Chordata, Amphibia, Anura, Pelobatidae.